This 693-nucleotide unclassified non-coding RNA is filed under the name Hevea brasiliensis (rubber tree). Lineage: Eukaryota; Viridiplantae; Streptophyta; Magnoliopsida; Malpighiales; Euphorbiaceae. The record is from RNAcentral.
GGGGAAGAAAGCUAGCAAGGACAGAUUCCAGAUCAAGGAAUGCUACCUCUAUCUUAAAUCACCGACUUCUGUCAAUUCCUUGCUGUUCUAAUAUUCUUGGCUGUGGCCCCAUUAAAUUCUCUUCCCCCACUAACCUGCAAAAUUUCAUUGAAUCUUCACAGAGAUCUCAAGUCUUGACCCUUUUGUGAAUCUACUGAAAAGAAACAAAUCACCAUGAAUUAAAAUGAAAAGAAAAACAUGGAUCUUGUAUGGCGUGUUUGGUGGUUAAAAGCCUAAACCAGUGUAGGACUGGGAAUAGAAUCGGAAGAUCUUUAUGCUGCAGAUGUGAAACUUCGGUAAUUUCCAAAAAGCAAUUAGAAACAGCGGAAAAUUAAAUUUGCAAGGAAUGUGGGUUUGACAAAAGCUGAAUUAGUGAAAAGCACUUCUGGAGAGUAGAACAUAUGGUGGCUUUGAUAAGGAAGGGGAAAUUGACAGUCCCUUCAUUGUCAAAGUGAGUUGGAUUUUAAGAAGGAACAAGAUGCAACAAGGGUUGAUUUGGUAAUUUUCUUGAGUAAGACAGUCAAAGAGUGAUGCACUGGUACCAAAUACCAAUUUAUAACAAUGGUUGGUUGUUUCACUUUCUGAAUAGAAGGAUGGAUGCCUUAUUUUCAUAGUGAGUGCACAUUAGUUCCUGCAUAAGAGAUUGCAAUUAGC